RNAcentral lists this unclassified non-coding RNA (512 nucleotides) under Hevea brasiliensis (rubber tree). The record is from RNAcentral. Lineage: Eukaryota; Viridiplantae; Streptophyta; Magnoliopsida; Malpighiales; Euphorbiaceae.
UGAAACCUGUAAAAUAUCAGUCGGUAUUUACAUAACUGGCGUCAUUUAAAACCAUGAACGGUAUGCCUUGAUCUUAUGGUGGUAUCAAAAGUUUCCUUCAUAGGUUUACACAACAGUAAGGUUAUCUUCGGAGGUUCACCAAAUGCUGCCAAUUUACUAAACAUUUUGGUUCAAAGAUAAGGGCAAAUGGAGAAUGAAAAUAAUUUUCAUGCUCCUAUAUCAGCCAAAAAAUUCAAGAUAAGGGCAAUCACCAUGAAUCUUUUUAACAUUGCUUCAUUUUCUCUCUUCUUCUUCUUUUUUGGGUAGGAAAAUGAAAAUUUUUUUCUUUUCUCUUUUCAAUAACAAUAACUAAUAUGAAACUAAAAUUUACUUAUCUUCCUUCUUCACUUCUGGGUUGUUGUUUCUACUCCCUUCUUUCGUAACUAAUGCUGUCUAAUGCAUCUUUAUGGUGCUAUGAUAGGUUAGAGUACUUAAGUGUCUAGCAUAGUGAACUUAUAUAUCAUAAGUGGUCG